Long non-coding RNA from Leopardus geoffroyi (Geoffroy's cat), 4646 nucleotides. RefSeq lists it as uncharacterized. The transcript has 2 exons. The record is from RefSeq and is a predicted model, not a curated record. NCBI's taxonomy places the organism in Eukaryota, Metazoa, Chordata, Mammalia, Carnivora, Felidae.
AGGAAUACUCAGAAUCCGAAGCAGGCUCCAGGCUCUGGGCUGUCAGCCCAGAGCCCGAUGUGGGGCUUGAACCCACGAGCUGGGAGAUUAUGGCCUGAGCAGAAGUUGAACGCUUAACCGACUGAGCCACCCAGGUGCCCCUGUAUUUUUAUUCUUAAGAACAGCGAAAGACUCAAUACUCUAGAAACAAGCAACAUUGAGCACAAUUUUUUACUUUUUUGGAAACAGAUCCUUAUGCUUCAUUAAACAACACUGUUGAGAAAAUUUGUUUAAAGACUUUCUUUUAAACAUUUGACUAGAGAAGAAUGAAAAAUAAUUUAAACUAGCAAACAAUAGAGACUUAUGGAUUCAUAUAUAUCUGAUUCAUAUAUAUCUCAGUAUAUAUUCAUAUACUGACUUAUAUAUAUCUCUGCACAGUGAACAGAAACAAAACCAAACAAAUGUAAAAGGACAACAGAAGGAUGAAAUAUGUACAUAAGCAUGAUUUAAAAAUGUUAGUGUUUGUUAAAUUGGAAAAAGCUUAUCUAAAUUUGUUAGGAAAUUUUUUGUGGAAAUGGAAAUGAUCCAGUGACAGAAAAUUGACAUUAGAGAAAAUGCCAGUAAACAAGCACACUAGAGAUGCACUUUCUAACACAAAAAAGUAAGUUAAAGAAUUUGGACUUUCAAUUUCACAUUUCUGAAAUUUGAAAAAAAAAUGCUGGGAAAGAGUGGAGUAAAUUGUUACCCUGAUAUAGAUGAUAUUUUAAAUGGUACAAUAAUUUGGAAAAGAGUAUGGUAAUAUAAAACAGAAUAAGAUAACAUAUUCCUAUUGUGUAUGUAAUUUUAACUUUUUUUUUUUUUUUUGUAAUUUUAACUUCUUAAGAAAUUUCACAAGUGCUCUAUUUGCAGAUGUUCAUUGUAGCAUUAGCCGUAGUAACUAAGCAAUCCGGAUUAACAACCUAAGUUACACUACACUGCAUCCUAGCGUUUUAUGCAGCCAUUAAAAAAACCAUAAUUACAAACCUCGGGCAGAAACAGAAAAGUGUUUAUAGUGUUAAGCCCACAGAAUAUAACAUUUAGUAUGUAUGUUAAAUAGUUAUUAGUCUAAAUAUGUACUAUAACAUAUGCUAGAAGGUAUUACCAAAAAAAAAAAAAAAAAAAAAAAAAAGGAAAUAAAAGUAUUAUAGAACUAAGGUGUGUUAAUUCUACAGAUAUUUGUUAAAUCCCUCCAUGGUGCCAACAGUAAAUUGAAAAGAGUACGACAGUAAAUUGAAAAGCUAUACCUUGUGGCAGUAAUGGAAAGUAUCCAGUUUUACCAAAACUUUCUCCAAUUUUUUCCAAAAUUUUCAAUAAUUUUAUAGCAACUUUUCAUUUAUAAGUUUAGCUAUAAAUUAGGGGCAGUAAUAAAAUAAAAUAUUUGUAAUUAAUUAUAUCCUGCUUGUUAUUUUCAUCUGCUUACCCUCAAUACAUAUAUUUUAUAGAACAUGAAAUUAAGAAAUUUUUGUUUUUAUUUUGUGAAAAGCACAAAUUGUUGGUUCCUCUGUUUUCCUUUUUAUUCAUGAAUUUAUUGAUUGGUUUAUUUCUCGACUGGGUUAUUCUUGAAACAAAUAAUUAUUGGGUACUGUGACGGAUGUGGGGAGGAUCGAGCAGGACAGAUGCCCCGUUUCUGUUUUCUUACUCUGUUAUGGACUCAUUGCAUUAUAGUUCUGCUGUGGAUCAGAUUGUCCCAUUAAGAUGUCAUUUUAGAUUUUUAUCACAAAUGUUAUUUUCUGAAAGGAAGAAGGAUUUAGGUAAUGAGCAGAAAAGCAUGCAUUUUCAUGCCUUUUUUCCACAAACUCUGUUUUAUGACAUUAUCUGGAAAAAGAAAAGAGGAAUUUUUUUUUUUAACAUUCUUAAGAAAUCAGAGGUGCUUUUAUACUGGUUACUUUGGGUGGCCUCCAGAUUUCUUUUUAAAUAAACCAUUUCACACAAACACGAACAUACAAUAGACAAAUGAGGAUAAUGUGAAGUGGUACUUGAGAAAGAAUGAAAUUGAUCUUCCCAUGGAAAACUAUAUUUGUGUCUUUCCAUUCUUAAUGCUUUUUCCAUUUGUGGGGGCAGUGUUGACAAAACUUAAGUGCCAUGUGGGUGGUUGACUCUGUGUUUAUCUGCAGACAAAUAUGGAGGAUACUGGAGGUAAAUAUAGAGAAUGUUAUGAAGUAAUAGCUAAAUGAUAAGAAGAAGUAAAGCUGACUUAUAGAAAACCGUAUUUCUGCCUCUGAGUUCUUAAUAACUCCCUUCCCUCCUCGCUUGUGCCUUUUGGGGUGAUAUUGGCAGUAUUGGCAAAAUUAAAGUGGCAUGUGGGUUGAUUCUGGAAUCUUUAUUUCCAUAUGCUCUUUAAUUUCAUCAUCCUGAAGUUGUUGCAACUAUAACAAUAGCUAAAGGAUGACUGGUUUUUAAAAAUAUUAAUGGUUGGAGCACUGUCACUUAGAAAUACACUGGAUGGGACGCCUUGGGGGGCUUAGUUAAGUGUCCAACUCUGGAUGUUGUCUCAGGUCAUGAUCUCACGGUUGUGGGAUCAAGCCCUGCCUCUGUGCUGACAGUGCAGAGCCUGCUUGGGAUCCUCCCUCUCUCCCUUUACCCUACUCUCUCUCUCUGUCUCUCUCAAAAUAAAUAAACAUUAAAAAAAAAAAAAAAAGAAAUACACUGUGAUGCUCGGUUGGUUGUAUUCACAAACAUUAUGUAGCCUAGAUCUGCCAAGGUCCCCUCUCCUGUGGACUUUUAUAAACUUAUGGCUCUUAUAUGACAUUCUAGGCCUUUAUGAAUAUCUGGAUAUUAGAUUGAUUUUUCAAAGAUUCUUAAAUGUUACAUAGUCAUUUAUUUUGAAAAAUUGAGAAAGACUUUAAAGAAAUAAAGAUCUGUCAUUUUAACAUUUUAAAAUGUUAGUUUAAUUAUAAAUCUUACUACUAUGAGUUUUGUUUGGCUCUUAAGUUAUUUUCAGUAUAAGUCAGAAAUAAGGAAUAGAAUUAAUUCAAUCAACACAUCAUCCUUGAGUGCCUCUUAACAGCAUGGCAACAUAUCAGAACCACAGAGAUGUGUAAGAAGGGGUGCCUGUUCUCAGGGAACUUAAAGCCCAUUUGAAAUAGUCAUAAAUAGUUUUGUCUAGUGCAGCCUCAGUGUUCAUUUGAGGAAUGAUCAUUAAAAUGUAUAUUUUUUACAUUUUUAUUCCAUAUCAAUAAGUCAUAUUAAUUUCCUUAAUCGGUUGAGAACAAACACAGAAGUCUUACAUAGGAAGACUUGUUUUAGGACCAUAAACAAAAUCAGCAACCUGUAACAAGCACUAAAUCUAACCUUGGGAAAUUAGAAUAUGUAGCAAAUUCAGAAAGACAUAUUUUUCUGAAAAAAUAGAAGGUCUUUUAUAUUAAACAUGAGAGUGUAUAUGAUCUAUCUGCUAGAAAAGUUCUUUAUAAAGAUUAAGUUAAAAUUAACAUGUUCAGAUAUUUACAAUGCAGUCCCAAAUUGAGCUGAUUGAAAAUAUGUUUUUCAAGUAUAACUGAAGUUAUAAUUUUUCCCCAUUUUUUGCUUCCACUUUUAUUUCUGGCUUGGAGGAAAAAAGAAAAAUAAGCAUACGAGAGUAGCAUGUGGCUUGUUUUUAAUUCACAUAGCUUUCAAAUAGAGGUUUUGAUUUUCAGGUGCAUUAGAACCUCAGCGUGGUGACACGGUUCCUUUAUAAAGAGUUUGCAUCUUUAGAAGUCUCCCCUGGAGUAAGGGAAGAUGAGGAAACACAAGGAAAAGUUAUUAAUUCUGUGGUGGGACAUCAAAGGAACUCAUCUGGCUUGCAUUUCAGCAAUGAGUUCACAUUAAGACAUGGACAGUAAUAUGGGAUAUAUUCUGAGAUCACAGAACUGAAAAUCUGAGAGAUACUUUAACUGUUGGAUAUAACGAUUAUACUAACACUGGCUAAAGAGUAAGAGUUUUCCAAUCUUGAGAGAAAGACUUGUAUCAUAAAACGUGAGAAUUCUCUUUUAACUAAUAACUUGAGUUUCUAUUCACUAGAUCUUUACAUGAGCUUCAAAUUUGUGGAAAGACUGAUUUGCUUUCCUUUUUGUCCAAAUGGUUUCUACUUCUGUAUAAAAUCUGAAUUCCUAUUUAGUCAUCUAUAAACACUGGAAGGAACAAACUAGAAGAUGUUGGAGAGAGAGGGAUAAACCCAUGUAAAAUAUGCAAGCAACUCAGAUCUUUUUCAGUCUGCAGCAAAGGCAGGUCUGACCCUCAGCAUCACUGGACGUGAGGCGAGGUCAGGAUGAUGGAACAAUGGUGGUUGAAGACAGCAGAUACCCAAGUGCACUUGUCCUUUGACUCUUCUUCACGAUCCUGUUUUCGAGGCCUUCUUCUGUCUGCUUACUUGACCUUUUUCUAUUUCUCUACAUCUGUCCGUAAAGUGGGGCCUGAAGUUGGACCUGGCUGACACACCAAAGAUUUGACCACCACUGACUUUACAGGGAUCAUUGGAUGUUUUUACUAUUCAUCUGCUGUCAGCCCUCUGGUCUGGAACUGAUUAUUUAGGGAAAAUUGGUGGAGCCAUCUGGAAACAUGAACAACUUGAGUUUCUGUCUGAUUUCUAAUGCAUGUUUUGAUUGAUGCUAAUUACACGGUUCAUUUCAUUAUUUAUUGUUUCUGUUUAUUGU